Molecule: unclassified non-coding RNA, 200 nt
Filed under: soil metagenome
Description: partial contains internal transcribed spacer 2 and large subunit ribosomal RNA
Source: RNAcentral
UCAUUGUCAACCCUCAAGCCUUGCUUGCUGUUGGACCCCUCGACGAAAGUCGAUGGCCCCAAAGAUAACGACGGUGUUGUGGCAACCCCCAGAUGCAAUGAGCUUUAACAUGCACGCGUCGCGGUGGUAUCACAACCCAGUCUUUAAACAAUUAUUCCAAGGUUGACCUCGGAUCAGGUAGGAAUACCCGCUGAACUUAA